UGGGUUGGCCAAAAAGUUCGUUCGGGUUUUUCCAUAACAUCUUACGGAAAUUUUUGGCCAACGCA
This 65-nucleotide microRNA precursor is filed under the name Tursiops truncatus (common bottlenose dolphin). RNAcentral's name for it is "miRNA (ENSTTRG00000024396.1)". Lineage: Eukaryota; Metazoa; Chordata; Mammalia; Artiodactyla; Delphinidae. The record is from RNAcentral.